CCCAGCCAGGCCUGGCACCAGGUGCUCCAGGCACAAUCUCAGUCAGUCUUCCCAGCUGCUCCAGUGGUGGGGAUGGUUAUCAGCCCACUUUACAGAUGGGCAAAUAAGGAGAGACGCACUGCCUCCCCGAGGCCACAGGGCUAGACGGUGGCUGACCCGUCUGACCCGGGGACAGUGGGGUCCCCGCUCGGUAGCCCAUACAGCCUCCCAUUACCACCCCCACACCUGCCCCUGGAGACGCCCCCAAGACUAACAUGAAGAAUGGACUCCCUUCUCUUAGAACAUACAAGAAAGAUUGGUACUUCUCAAGUUGACAUUUUAUUUAAUCCAGGUGCCUCGGAGCAUACCCAGACUUCUCCCCAGGAAGAGAGACUGACAGCACGUCCGAGACCGGGGGCACAUUCAGCCUUUCCAGUCCUGCUUCCCAGCCUAAGCUCUGGUCUUGGAUCCUGCCCUGUUCCCAGACACUGAGAGAGGAAAGAAAGUCCUUCUAACUGGUCCCCGAGACUCGUGUCCCCAGCGGUCGUCCAUCGGGCUAUUCACUGUGUUCUGCUCCCCAGGCCUUCUGGAAGGACAGUGCUCCCUGUCCCCUUUAAUUAGAUGACUUACCCUGAACAAAAAAAAAAAGAGAUAAAUAAUGUGUGCCACAUCAGGGCAGAGGUAUUAAGAGGAAGUGCACAGUUUCCCACAUUUCUUUCCACGUCCCAGUGAUGAAGGAACCCAUGCUGAAAUGGGGCCUCUGUUAGCCCGGAUGCCUGAGUGACUAUGCAGAGUGGAGACCGCUGCCAACCUUCAUUGUGAGGAACACUACAUUCUUGUUGAGGAAACUGCUGGCUGGAGAAGGUUGCGUGCACCAGGAGCCUCUUGUCCUGGAUGGCAGCAUCCAGCACAUUCGCUGGGCCCCGGAACUCGUCUGACUCCCUAACACGUCCUUCCUCCUGAUGGCAAAGGAGCACAUCGGGCAGGAGACGCGGGGCCAGCAUCCCCCUAUAAUCACCUCCCUGAUCAGCUCAGAGGCCCAGGGGCUGGGUACUCAGCCCAGACUGGGACACGUCAAAACAAAGAGGAGCGAAGCACCCCAGGCAUCUCUCCACACAGCUAACGUGACAGUGCCUGACGCUGGAUUCACGGGGCCCUCACAGGAUCCACAGGAUGACGCUUUGUGGCCCCAAGGAGCAGCUGUCACCACAGCGUAUCAUCUUCAGUUCUGCAGGCUCCAGCUACAGGGGGGUGUACAGUGAUCAUGGCCCAGGAGGAGAGGGUGGGUCUUGUCCAAUCAGUCGAAGGCCUGAAUGGAACGAAGCCCAACCUGCCUCCUGAGUCAGAGAGAAUUCUCCUGCCUGAAGCCCUGCAGACUGCAGCACCAGCUUUCUGGCUCUGCAGCAGCUUCCAGCCCUGGACAGAAGCUGCAAAGUUGGCUCUGCAGGUUUUGGAUCUGCCCGCCUCCAUAAUCGCGUGAGCCAAUUCCAUACACACGUGUACAUAAGCUCUAUUGGUUCUUUUUCUCUAGAGAACCCUAAUCCACCAUCUCUGACCGCACGCUGCCGGCCUCCAAGUUGGGGAAAGGCUGGAAAGAGGAGGAGGGAAGCCACCGAAGAGGCCGUCGGUGCUGGCCAAGGGGUUCCCACCAGGCCCCGUGGGUCCACCCUCCCCUCCCCCAGUGGCUGCCCUGGGUUUCUGCUGGGUCUCAGAU
This is a long non-coding RNA of Equus caballus (horse), 1693 nucleotides long. RefSeq lists it as uncharacterized. Lineage: Eukaryota; Metazoa; Chordata; Mammalia; Perissodactyla; Equidae. The record is from RefSeq and is a predicted model, not a curated record.